RNAcentral lists this ribosomal RNA (448 nucleotides) under uncultured bacterium. Its description in RNAcentral is "partial 16S ribosomal RNA". It matches the Rfam family "Bacterial small subunit ribosomal RNA", at positions 328 to 793 of the family's 1533-position model. The record is from RNAcentral.
UAACCAGACUCCUACGGGAGGCAGCAGUGGGGAAUAUUGCACAAUGGGGGGAACCCUGAUGCAGCGACGCCGCGUGGGUGAAGGAGCACCUCGGUGCGUAAAGCCCUAUCGGCAGGGAAGAAACAGACGGUACCUGACUAAGAAGCCCCGGCUAACUAAGUGCCAGCAGCCGCGGGAAUAAGUAGGGGGCAAGCGUUAUCCGGAUUCACUGGGUGUAAAGGGAGCGUAGACGGCGACGCAAGUCUGGAGUGAAAGCCCGGGGCCCAACCCCGGGACUGCUCUGGAAACUGCGGCGCUGGAGUACGGGAGGGGCAGGCGGAAUUCCUGGUGUAGCGGUGAAAUGCGUAGAUAUUAGGAGGAACACCAGUGGCGAAGGCGGCCUGCUGGACGAUGACUGACGCUGAGGCUCGAAAGCGUGGGGAGCACACAGGAUUAGAUACCCGGGUAA